CUUGACGACCAUAGUGCAUUGGAACCACCUGAUCCCAUCCCGAACUCAGCUGUGAAACGAUGCAUCGCCGAUGGUAGUGUGGGGUUUCCCCAUGUGAGAGUAGGUCAUCGUCAAGA
This 116-nucleotide ribosomal RNA is filed under the name Staphylococcus aureus. The record is from RNAcentral. Lineage: Bacteria; Bacillati; Bacillota; Bacilli; Caryophanales; Staphylococcaceae.